GUCCACGCCGUAAACGAUGAGAGCUAGUUGUCAGUAGGCAUGCCUAUUGGUGACGCAGCUAACGCAUUAAGCUCUCCGCCUGGGGAGUACGGCCGCAAGGUUAAAACUCAAAGAAAUUGACGGGGGCCCGCACAAGCGGUGGAGCAUGUGGUUUAAUUCGAAGCAACGCGCAGAACCUUACCCACGCUUGACAUGUCCGGUUUGGUUUCCAGAGAUGGAUUCCUUCAGUUCGGCUGGCCGGAACACAGGUGCUGCAUGGCUGUCGU
RNAcentral lists this ribosomal RNA (266 nucleotides) under uncultured bacterium. RNAcentral's name for it is "partial 16S ribosomal RNA". It matches the Rfam family "Bacterial small subunit ribosomal RNA", at positions 793 to 1055 of the family's 1533-position model. The record is from RNAcentral.